Molecule: ribosomal RNA, 415 nt
Filed under: uncultured bacterium
Lineage: Bacteria
Description: bacterial SSU rRNA
Rfam family: Bacterial small subunit ribosomal RNA
Source: RNAcentral
AACGAACGCUGGCGGCGUGGAUAAGACAUGCAAGUCGAACGCUGAUUUCAGGGUAGCAAUAUUCUGGAGUCGGAGUGGCGCAAGGGUGCGUAACACGUGGGUAAUUUGCCAUGAAGCCCGGAAUAACUCGCUGAAAGGCGAGCUAAUACCGGAUGUGAUCUUCGGGAGGCAUCUCCUGAACCUUAAAGCUGGGGACCGUAAGGCCUGGCACUUCUUGAUAAGCCCGCGGCCUAUCAGCUAGUUGGUGAGGUAACGGCUCACCAAGGCUAAGACGGGUAGCUGGUCUGAGAGGACGACCAGUCACACUGGGAACUGAGACACGGUCCAGACACCUACGGGUGGCAGCAGUCGAGAAUUUUUCNCAAUGGGCGAAAGCCUGAAGGAGCGACGCCGCGUGGGGGAUGAAUGGCUUCGG